CCGCUGGGAUUUAGGGUUCCAGCCCGGGGGUGCUGAUUAUUCCCCAUCCACGCUUCGCUUCCCACCCUAUAAAGCGCUCCUCGAUCCAGACCUUUGCUAAAAAUAACAAGGCGCAGAGGCAUCCUCGAUUCGACGUGCGCUUCCUCCUCGCUCGCGGAUAUGUCUGACGUUGAGGCCGAGUACCGUUGCUUCAUCGGGAACCUGUCAUGGUCAACAACUGAUGAGAGCCUCAAGGAUGCAUUCGCCAAAUUUGGAAACCUCACUGAGGCAAAGGUAGUUCUUGACAAAUUUUCUGGCCGAUCUCGCGGUUUUGGCUUUGUAACAUUUGAUGAGAAGAAAGCUAUGGAAGAUGCUAUUGAAGGGAUGAAUGGGCUGGACUUGGACGGGAGGAACAUCACUGUUGAUAAAGCUCAGCCACAAGGGCCUGGUAGAGAUCGUAAUGGUGACCGUGAUUUUGAUCGUGACCGUGGAUCUCGUUAUGACCGUGGCCGCGACUAUGGUGGUGGUGGUGGACGUGCACCGCGUGGUGGCGGUGGCGGUGGGGACUGCUUCAAGUGUGGAAAACCUGGUCAUUUUGCUAGGGAGUGCCCAUCUGGGGAUGGCGGGAGAGGGGAUAGAUAUGGUGGCAGAGAUGACAGGUAUGGUGGUGGUGGUGGCGGUGGCGGCCGUUAUGGAUCUGACCGUGGUGGUGACCGAUACUCUAGCCGUAGCCGAGAUGGUGGCAGCUACGGGGGCGACCGCUACAACCGUGACCGAUCUGGUCCCUACUGAUGGCCUAGAUCUUGAGCAGUUUGUGCCAUCCAGGCAUAUGACUUGGUCAUAGUGCUUGGCGCUUGGAUCCUGCAUGUUUGCUUGAUACGCUAUUUGGCUGGAUUUUGUCGCUGUGUGUUGAUGAUCCUGAUCCUAGUUAUGCUUAUGGGGAUGCCUGGGAUAUGGGGGGUUGGAUGGCAAGUUAUGUUCGCAUUAUGUUCAUUUCGGGGAAUCAAGGGAUCAGCUGUAUUCUGCUUGAACACACGAACAAGAAAAAUCACCUUCUGAAAGCAAGCGAUGAAUAAUCUGUAAGGGAAAAAUUAACUGGCUUCUUUUUGGUUAUUUGUUCUCUUGUUCUGGAUUGGUUGCUCCUGUCGUUCCGGAUUGGUUACUAGUGUCCCAAGAUCAUUUCAGUUGUCUCAUCUUAGUCUGGCGAGUGGUUCCGCGAAUGCAAAGGGUUCUUUGGUUCCUUUCUAUGUGCUAAUAGCAUCGGAGGACCACUGCAAAGAGACUCCUCUUUGGCUCCAUUGUAUGUACAUUCGCACUGGAGGACCAACGCAGCGUAGCAUACUGUUUCUGCCUGUCCCUCUUGGGUGGCUUGACUACCUGGCUAUGGUUACUUUGACGUACUCGUGGCUGCCUCUGGGUGUUCAUUUAGCUGCCCCGUUUCUUGACUUGUGAGAUCAGCGAUCAUGCUUAUGCAGCCUGAGUGAAUGUCAUGCUAUCUAGUUGCUGUUCUUUUGACACUGCACCAGUGGUCUAUCGCUUCUUCUGCCCUGUUAUAAGCACCGCUGCCCUUUUGAGAGGAGUUCCAUUGAUGUUAUGCUCCAUCUGCAGAAUUUUGAUUGUUGGAUUGUCGUCUCAUGGAAUGCAAUAGCCUUUAUUUGCCUGUCUGAGAGAGUACCAGUGAUUAUGCUUCAGCGGCAGCAUUCAAAUUGUUGCAUCGUCGUCUCAUGGGAUAAAUUAGCCUUAACUUGAGUUCUUUUUUCUAGACUGCCAAUAAGAAGGUUCAUCUUUUGCUGUUGAUUAUUAGCCAAUUGAGUUUAUGUACUCACAUACGUCACAACAGCUGCAACAUUUCACCCAUUUUUGAACAUUUCGGUUGAUUUGUAUUGUGCAAGUUGUGAAUUCAGCGGAUCCAGCUUGUUUUUC
Molecule: RNA transcript, 1902 nt
Organism: Panicum hallii
Lineage: Eukaryota; Viridiplantae; Streptophyta; Magnoliopsida; Poales; Poaceae
Gene name: glycine-rich RNA-binding protein RZ1A
Exons: 5
Source: RefSeq, a predicted model, not a curated record